UUUUCCAAAUGGUCUUAUUAAAUUUGUUUCUAAUUAUAAGUUGUGUGAUAGUAUCGCACAUUGGUAUGACGAUAUGCAUAUAUAUGUCUAAAAGUGAGCUUAAUUAUAUAGGCUCAAAAAUUAACGAAUAUAGUAUGUUUCAAAAGAGAACAAGAUAUAAACAAACAAACUUGUUUAUAAUUAACAAAAUAAGAAACAAUAAUAUAAAAAAAUCAAAGAAUAGUUUAAAUGUAGAAAAUGAUAAUACGGAUAGUAGUAGACUAACAUUAUUAAAAAAUUUAGAAAAAGAAACUGAAGUAAUUACACAGGCACCUGAUUGGAAUAAUCAACAGCCGUUACUUGAAAUAUCAAAUUUACAUGCUAUAGAAAUAGAGGGGGAAAAGGAAAUUUUACAUGGUAUAAAUUUAGUUAUUUAUUCUGGAGAAAGACAUGCUAUAAUGGGUCGAAAUGGUUCCGGCAAAUCUACACUAGCAAAAGUAAUAGCUGGACAUCCAUAUUAUAAAGUCAUUAAAGGUAAAAUGACAUUUAAAGGUUUAGAUUUGAAUACAUUAGCAGUUAAUAUAAGGUCUUUAUGUGGUAUAUUUUUAGCAUUUCAAUAUCCAAUAGAAUUACCUAUGAUAAAAAAUAAUGAUUUUCUAAGAGCUGCAUUAAAUAGUCAUAGGAGACAAAGAAAUGAAACGGAAUUAAGUGCAAGUGAAUUCGAUUUAUUAAUGCUUGAAGAAAUAAAAAAAGUUGGUUUAUGUUCUGAGUUUUUAAACAGACCAGUUAAUUAUGGUUUUAGUGGAGGAGAAAAAAAAAGAAAUGAAAUUCUACAAAUGUUAAUUUUAAAACCAUCUUUUGCUAUUCUAGAUGAAACUGAUUCAGGUUUAGAUAUUGAUUCUUUUAAAUUGACAUCUAAAAUACUUGCAAAUUAUGCAAAUAAUAAUAAUUCAUUUUUAGUAGUAACCCAUUAUAAAAAACUGUUACAACUUUUGAAGCCUAAUUAUAUUCAUAUAAUGCACCAAGGGAAAAUUAUUGAAACAGGAAACUAUUCUUUAGUUGAUAAAAUUGAGUCCAGUGGUUAUUCUCAAUUUUUUAACAAUUAGCACCGUCCGUUUUAUUAUGCGUA
This 1108-nucleotide long non-coding RNA is filed under the name Piliocolobus tephrosceles (Ugandan red Colobus). RNAcentral describes it as "lncRNA (ENSPTEG00000015936.1)". The record is from RNAcentral. Lineage: Eukaryota; Metazoa; Chordata; Mammalia; Primates; Cercopithecidae.